GCAAAAUUUAAACUCUCUCUCUGUGUCUUUUAUUCACGGAUUUCGCUGAGAAGGAGGGAGUGCUCGUGGUCUAUUCGUGCUGGAGCGCUAAUAAUAACCAGGGCGUGCUCGCAGGCGGGAGCCCUGAACCACUUCCAUUUGUCACGAGCUGUUAACAAAUUGCAACAAAAAAGCGGUGAAUGCGAAAAUCCAACGUUUUCCGGGUUUGACGAGUGCCAACUUUACGCUUAAGCUAUCGAAUUGCUGUGUCACAGAUUGACUUGGAGGCUAAAUAUUCAUACAACCACGGCAAUAGAUAUGAUGUAACGCCUCGCUGACAAGAAAAAAACACGUUUGAAUCAAAGUACUAUCUUGGGAUGAGUCAUCGCAUCAACUAAUGUUCACUUCGAAGGGAUACAACUCUUCAAGAAAAGUCUAUCUUUGUUAUGGGUUAUCGAAUCUGGUUUUGUUUCAUUGCUGUGCUCGUGACUCUUGACUCACUGAAGGGGUCACCAAUUGGGACUAAUCAUUCUGAGUUGGAUCCACCAGAUGUCAUUGUUAAGGGUAGCUUCGUGUACAAUGCUUUGAACCUAUUCCCAAAGAACACACAACAGGAGCUGAAAUCUUUGGAGCAGCGACUGAGUGCCCUAGAAAAACCAAAAGUUGACGUUUUACAGUUGACGUUGACACCGCACGCGUUGCAAAGCAAGUCGCCAAAGCAGCGUUAAAACGACCGUUGGCAACAAAGCGGCUAGGGAAAAAAGUUAAGGAGACUUCGCAUGUUUUAUUCCUCGCUUUUAUUAUCUUUUUUUUAAAUUUGUCCUUUUUUUAGCGGCCCACACGUACGCUUGAAAUUCGAUCUUAAUAUGUUAGUUAUUACCGUUAAUGCACUUUACACCCCAAAGUCACACACAGUACGCUUGGGCUGCCUGUGGAACAAACGACCAGACACACCUCAUGUGUGGGUGCCCUGUGGUCAGAUGCGCUUCGAUAUUUGAAUGCCGUAGUAAGGGAAAAAGGAUUAUGCGUACCUACAAAGCGAUUUAGCCAGAAUAGAUGGUAAAACCGAGCGGCUCUCGGAUUGAUGCAGCGUAAUUUGGAAACUUUAGCCGCGGGAACGGGUAGGUAUUAGUAAAGCACUCUCGCGGGUGGAAAUUUGAAGGAGAUUGGUCGACUUUUGUGGAAUUUAUCGGCCUUCGAGUGGGGACGGUUGGUGUUUGGAACCGGUUGAAGUUUCCAGUCUUGUGUUUUUAUACAUACAGUUGACUUGAAGCAACAGAUGCACGCGUUACAAAGAAAGUCGCCAAAACAGCGUUAACAAAAUCAACCUCGAAUUUGACUUCCGUUCCAAACUGUCUUUGCAGAUGAUGUGCUGUUGCAUAUAGAGAGUGGGGAACUGUGUGGUGCAGUGUUCUUAGAUUUGACCAAGGCAUUCGAUACCGUUGACCAUAAGAUCUUGUUAUAUAAAUUGUCGGCUAUCGGUGUCUCGCCCAGCACGCUACAGUGGUUCAAGUCCUACCUGAGUCAUCUUAAACAGCGGACCUCCUGUGGUGAUGCUAUGUCUGACCCUCUCCCGAUGACCUUAUGCUGAUGACACGGUCCUGUACUACUCUGCUAAGGAGCCACACCUGUUGGAAGAGGCACUGAAUGAUGAUCUCUUGCAAGUUGCCCAGUGGCUACAUGGAAAUAAGCUAACUUUGAAUCUUACUGAGACGAAAUCCAUGAUUAUAGGUAGUAAUAGGAAAGUUGUUGGUAUUUCCUCUUUCUCAUUAUCUAUUUUUGACACUGACAUAAAUUCUGUAACUAGUUUUAAAUAUUUGGGAGUUAUGUUGUCCUCAACUUUUACAUGGCCCGACCAUGUUGAGUAUAUUUCAUGUAAGGUUAAUAAGAACCUUGGUCUUUUACGUAGGAUUAAGUAUUAUUUACCUAAUAAUGCUCGGUUACUUUUGUAUAAUAGCUUAGUGCUACCUAUUUUUGAUUAUACUGAUUUAGUCUGGGGUGACAAGGACAAUGUCACACUAAGGAAGGAAUUACAAAUUCUGCAAAACAAAGCAGCUAAGUUGAUAUUGGAUAGAUCACUUCCGCUCCUCAUCCACUGAUGCAUUAACAGUCUUGAGAUGGCUGAAUCUUGAAGAACGUAGGAAAUGUCAUCGAUGUAUAUAUGCAUACAAGUGUAUUAAUGGCAAAAUUAAUCAUUCUUUGGACAUUGUAAGAAAGAGUGAUAUGCACUCCUACAAUACGCGCAAUAACGAUACUAUAAAGCUCCCCAAAAUCAAAUAUAAUUGGGGAAAACAUCGUUCGCGGUAUCACUGUUUCAAAUGAGUUAGAGAGAACUGUAAGAAACUCAGUAAGUUUUCCAAUUUUAACAUGACAACUUCUGCACUGUUUAAGUGUGUACCCACGUUUUGUGGGCCGAUUAAGUAUUCAUAUAUGCAAUCUAUUGUUUUUCUAAUUGAAUAUUCAUUAUUCGCGGCACGAACAAUUUCCGAAAAUGUAGCUAGCUUGCACGAUCGCAAGCGCUUUGAUGUUAGGUGUGAUAUAUCUCUUUUGUUUUCAGUUUCAUGCUCGAUUGAUGUUUUGACACACUAUUGUUUCGUUAAAGUUAACUUUAUAAUUAAAAGUGGAACACUAGAACUUUUAUCAUGCUAAAAGUGUAAGAUGAUGAUGCCAUAGCCAUUGCGUAGCAAAAAAAAUAUCGAAGGUUUUGGGUUCGCGAUUGAGUCCUCCAGGUCUGGUUUGCUCCACCAGGACUAAACUUCAGAAUACCCGGCCACUCAUUUACAUGUCAAUUAAUAAGAAUAGCAUCUAUUGUGUUAUGCUUCAUUC
Molecule: unclassified non-coding RNA, 2805 nt
Organism: Stylophora pistillata
Lineage: Eukaryota; Metazoa; Cnidaria; Anthozoa; Scleractinia; Pocilloporidae
Source: RefSeq, a predicted model, not a curated record